Molecule: ribosomal RNA, 400 nt
Filed under: uncultured bacterium
Lineage: Bacteria
Description: bacterial SSU rRNA
Rfam family: Bacterial small subunit ribosomal RNA
Source: RNAcentral
UGGGGAAUAUUGCACAAUGGGGGAAACCCUGAUGCAGCGACGCCGCGUGGAGGAAGAAGGUCUUCGGAUUGUAAACUCCUGUUGUUGAGGAAGAUAAUGACGGUACUCAACAAGGAAGUGACGGCUAACUACGUGCCAGCAGCCGCGGUAAAACGUAGGUCACAAGCGUUGUCCGGAAUUACUGGGUGUAAAGGGAGCGCAGGCGGGAAGACAAGUUGGAAGUGAAAUCCAUGGGCUCAACCCAUGAACUGCUUUCAAAACUGUUUUUCUUGAGUAGUGCAGAGGUAGGCGGAAUUCCCGGUGUAGCGGUGGAAUGCGUAGAUAUCGGGAGAACACCAGUGGCGAAGGCGGCCUACUGGGCACCAACUGACGCUGAGGCUCGAAAGUGUGGGUAGCAAAC